Phacochoerus africanus (Common warthog) is the source of this 2231-nucleotide long non-coding RNA. RefSeq lists it as uncharacterized. The record is from RefSeq and is a predicted model, not a curated record. Lineage: Eukaryota; Metazoa; Chordata; Mammalia; Artiodactyla; Suidae. The transcript has 5 exons.
UUUUAAAGGCCAGCCCCUAAAUUAACAUCAUCACAUGAGGGCCUGGGGAUGCCAACCAGCUGCUCUUCAGAGCAUGCAAGCCAGCGCCACAAGGAAAGACAGCAGGCUGUUAAAACUUCUCAUGAGAUUGUAGCAGUUUCAGAACUGUGUAUUGAGAAUAGUUCCACAGGAUGGCAACAUAUGUUACGUGAAACAAAGUGCUCCGGAGUCAGAUAAGGUCAUGAGACCUUGUAAACCAAGUUCAGCGGUGACAUUCUUCUGCAGGACUUCUCCGAGCAUCUCUUAGGAGGAGACGGUAGGAUUCGCCCAUUUUUAACCGUAGCAUCCUGUGUUUUUCAGAUUACCUCCUGGGACUUUUCAGAAAUGCCUCAUCCCAAGGGACGCUCCAGGAGUCUAGAACUGCCCAUCCCAGGUCAACUGGGAAGAAGGAAGAGAAGGAAAGACAAGACAAGAAAAGAACGUACAACCUGCAAAUAAUAGUAAGGGAGUAAGUGGAAAUAUGAAAUAAAUACUGAUGUGCCUGCCCCAUCUGGUCACACAGUGCUUUGAAGAAAGGCCCUUCCUCUGGGGAAAAUGACAAGAAUUCAGCCUUCAUCAUAAAUGCUGGAGAAUAAGACAGACCUGUUCACUUCCCCUUCGGCAUGUGACGUUUGGAACACAGAUUUACAUGAGGAACAGGAAAAGAUCAUCUUGGGCUCCUGCUGCUGCUGUCCAGCUUCCCUGGCUCUGUGCGAAGAGUGUCCUCCCACGGGACCUGGACGUCCCACCUUUGAGAGAGAUGUGCACACACCGUGACCCAAGAGCAGGUCCUUGGGGCCAGAAGGAGCCUCCACUGUCAGCACAAGAGCAUCACCGCCAAGUCAGACAGCUUCUUGGAGCUACACCUUUCCCAAGAUUUCUGUUUAAAGAUUUAAGUGGUCAUUUCCAGACGUAAUGCAUCAACUGAAGUUUUGACAUUGGGACCUGCCUGCCAAACCAAGCUGUACUGGUCAAGUGGUCAUCUCAGAAUGGUGCUGGGUUUUGCCUGGAGCUUGGAGAUGCCAUCUCUAAUCUACAGCCCUGUCAUGAAUUUGUUUUUUUGUCAUAAAUGAAACAUGGGGCUGGGCUUUAAUUUUCCUCACUGCCCUCUGUCAAGUAAUAACCAUAAAUAUUGUCCUGAAUCAUUAAGUCACAACCUGAAACGUGAUCCUGCCCAGCUCCCAAUCAGACGGCCAUCUGGAAGAUGAAAGAAGUCUAUUUGGGUUUCGGAAUGAUCCAGACUCUAAUUUGUAGUAACAGUCUUAACAGGCUGUUUCAGAGACAUUAACCAGUAACUUGUCUCAGAUUCUCAAGGAAGGUCCAUUAUCCACAGUUGGAGGUAUUUGCUUCAAGCAGAACCAUGAAUUGUAACUGUUGGAAAACUACCAGGCUCGCUGGCUUUCAAUCAAAUGCCAUAUUCUUCCAUGGACACUAGAUUUUUACCCAAGGGCAAGAAUAUAUGCACAGAGCAGAUGCAUACAUAAUAUAUCUCCAAUAUUCUCUAUUUCAUAAGGAAAGCAAACAUUUCAAGAAAGGAAAACAAAUUGCAGCUUCAGCAAGCAAACAGCAAAGCAACAUGAUAGAUAUAUAAUUUUUCCUAUCACCCUGAGGUUACUUUUGCAGAGAAAAAUAAAUUGUACUCUUAUUUUGCUGUAGAAAUAAUCUUGUAAACACAAAGAGAAAGUCAUUAUCUAAAGUCUGGAAACAUAUGCUUAAACAUGAGUACACCACUGAUCAAAGGCAUCAAGCAAUUGCUUUAAAUAUCUGACUUUCCUGGUCAUUAGAGAAGCAAGCACUAUCCCUAGGAGAUGCCUCUCCAUUUCCACUUGACUUUGGACUGGAAGACCAAAGAGAGAAAACAACGGAGGAGAUCAUGUUUCUUCUCUGAGUUAUACAAAGCAUCACUCUCCCCAUGGGAGGGUGUUCAGUUUAAUUUCCGAACAUUGCAAAUACACUUAAAAACGCAAUGAAUGUAUUUAUUUAUAAAUGCAUGAAGUAAAUGAUGUUUCGACAAGGAGUGUGUCGAUGGCGACUUGGAGCAGAACUAAACCCACACUGACGGUCACGAGGGUGGUUAUGUUUCGCACCAUCAGGGAGGAAAACUCCAUCCCAAAUUUUAGCAACAAAAAUCUGUUUCCUUUGCCUCAAAAUUUGUUCAGCACCUCUCAAUUUUAGUAAUUAAAAAUAUGUAUUAAUUAUUCAUAAAAAGUAAA